Long non-coding RNA from Gallus gallus (chicken), 527 nucleotides. The record is from Ensembl. NCBI's taxonomy places the organism in Eukaryota, Metazoa, Chordata, Aves, Galliformes, Phasianidae.
CUGGAGCCCCUAGGCAGGUGGCUGGCUUCCCGGAUGUCCUGGGAGUGCAGCCCCGCUCACAUGCCUCAUCAGAAAUGCACGAACUCAAGGGUGAGCGAGAGGCAGCCUGGAAGGCUCUGGCAAUGAUUUAACUCAAUUAAAGUCUGUGGGAGGGCUCAGCUUCACAUCAUGAGGCAAACACAGGAUGAGUAACUGAUAUAAGACCGAACAGCACUUUCCUUGUGCCUUUUGUCUUUAGAGUGGCGGGAGGUGGAUGAUAUUCCUGCAUCGACAUGGUAAUGCUGGAGCUGGGAAGACUGUGGCCAUUUGACACCCACUUUGCUAUUUAUUUUGCCUCCUCCUUUACACUGCUGUGCAGGAUGAUGCUCCCAUCUCUUUAUAGAUCUUCAAGCUAUCUGGGGAGAGGUGGGGAUUCACCUUCAAAAAAAAAAAUAAAAAAGAUUGUUCCUGUUCUGGUGAAGGACUUGAGUGCCGAUGCAGCUCUAAGCAUGGGAGGAAGUUACGUGUGUUUCAUGAGAUGGCUCACC